GGUCCCAUAGCUCAGUUGGUUAGAGCGUCGUACUAAUAUUAUGAGUCAAUCAUUACAUUGAGUAAAUGCGAAGGCCGUGAGUUCAAGCCUCACUGGGACCA
This is a non-coding RNA of Xylaria scruposa, 101 nucleotides long. Lineage: Eukaryota; Fungi; Ascomycota; Sordariomycetes; Xylariales; Xylariaceae. The record is from the annotation of a GenBank genome assembly.